CUCUUCCACAGCGCUCGAUUUUCGGUAAGUUGAUCUUUGCAUGCGAUCCGCCGUUGUCCUGAGGAUCCCGCUUUGGCGACACUGAGAUAGCCGACUAGAGGUCGCCUCCGGCCGUUGUCGCCCAAGCCAGGUUUGUGGAGGGAUAACGUCUGUGGGAGCUGGGAGUCGGCCUGCCCGAGGACAACUCCGUCCUGCUGGUUCGCGGUCGCAUUGGCCGACGUCGCCAGGGCACCGACUUCAACCAAUGGUGGAGUCGGGUCUAUCACGGUUUGGUCUGAGUCGAGUCUGUCGAGAAUAGAUCGCUCACGAAGAUGUUCCGGGUAGCCGAUGGGGUGGUCGUUGGAGGAUCCGGUGAUUCUUGAUUUAAUAUAGGAUAAUCGACGUUUUGUUGUUCUGGGCUUAUUGGACGUCAAUGGUUCUGGGCUUGCACUUUGGGCUCAUUUAGACUUAGUGAGUCUUGGGCUUGAAGUGUUAAUUCGGCGAAUUCGGGCUUCAUUUUUAUUACAAGGAUAGUGACUGUUGGGCUUAAUUGGGCUUGUUUGGAUUUAUUUUUGGUUGAGUUGGCUUUGGGUUUGA
Molecule: long non-coding RNA, 576 nt
Organism: Eucalyptus grandis
Lineage: Eukaryota; Viridiplantae; Streptophyta; Magnoliopsida; Myrtales; Myrtaceae
Exons: 2
Source: RefSeq, a predicted model, not a curated record